AUUGAACGCUGGCGGCAUGCCUUACACAUGUAAGUCGAACGGCAGCGGGGGAGAAGCUUGCUUUUCCUGCCGGCGAGUGGCGAACGGGUGAGUAAUACAUCGGAACGUGCCCUGUAGUGGGGGAUAACUAGUCGAAAGAUUAGCUAAUACCGCAUACGACCUGAGGGUGAAAGUGGGGGACCGCAAGGCCUCAUGCUAUAGGAGCGGCCGAUGUCUGAUUAGCUAGUUGGUGGGGUAAAGGCCUACCAAGGCGACGAUCAGUAGCUGGUCUGAGAGGACGAUCAGCCACACUGGGACUGAGACACGGCCCAGACUCCUACGGGAGGCAGCAGUGGGGAAUUUUGGACAAUGGGCGAAAGCCUGAUCCAGCAAUGCCGCGUGUGUGAAGAAGGCCUUCGGGUUGUAAAGCACUUUUGUCCGGAAAGAAAUGGCUCUGGUUAAUACCUGGGGUCGAUGACGGUACCGGAAGAAUAAGGACCGGCUAACUACGUGCCAGCAGCCGCGGUAA
Molecule: ribosomal RNA, 508 nt
Filed under: uncultured bacterium
Lineage: Bacteria
Description: partial 16S ribosomal RNA
Rfam family: Bacterial small subunit ribosomal RNA
Source: RNAcentral